UAUGUGUUUUCCUCUCCUUUCUGUCAGUUUUCUGUUCAACUAGGGUUACCAGACAUGAACCCUAUCACCUUUCUUCCGUUAAAUCCGGCCACCGUCGUCCCACCACUUCGCGUAAGUGCCCAUCGUUCUGAACCUAUGAUUCCUAAUCUAUUCACCGACUAUGCCGCCGUCACUUCAUCAACAGCUGUUCCACUUCAUCUUGUACUUCCUUCCGCUAGAUUGGCUGUAAUCGUUGGAUGCUACUAUGCUAUGGAGCUCAUUUAUUAUCUAUCUUCGCUUCUCCCUAUCUACAAACCAUGGGUCAAAAAAUCGAGGCAAGUGCUCGGAAGGCCAUGAUCUCCAAAUUCAGGUUGGAGCUUUGUGAAGGAAAGGUGUACAAGAUUGCAUUGAUACUAAUUUUUGUACAAGGAGCAACAUGCGAAUGGGAGACUGUCAGGGAUACAAGGAGUUUUUUACGAGAAAUAAAAGGAAGCAUUAAAAGGAUUAUCGGUGGAAGAGGUGACUUAUAAAGAACUCUUUUAGUGCUUUUAAAAUUAUUUUAUGUUUUUUCCUGGGUAUAAUUGUUGUAGUUUAUUUAGGGAAUUUUUUAAUAUGGUAUGUGAUGAUAAAAACUUUUGCUGAAUGUUUGGGAUUUUGAUCGGUGAUGUGUGUUGAAACUAGCGAUCUGAUGCAGAGUAUAUUGUUUCCAUAUAACAUUGUUAGUCUCUUUAAAUACAAGUUUGUACUUGAUAAGUUGAUUGUUUUGUUA
Molecule: long non-coding RNA, 748 nt
Organism: Lotus japonicus
Lineage: Eukaryota; Viridiplantae; Streptophyta; Magnoliopsida; Fabales; Fabaceae
Exons: 2
Source: RefSeq, a predicted model, not a curated record